CCCUUAGAUGUUCUGGGCCGCACACGCGCUACACUGAAGGAGGCAGCGUGUACUCCUGGAUCGAAAGAUUUGGGUAACCCGCGAAUCUCCUUCGUUCUAGGGAUUGAGGUUUGCAAUUAUCCUUCAUGAACGAGGAAUUCCCAGUAAGUGCAAGUCAUAAGCUUGCGCUGACUACGUCCCUGCCCUUUGUACACACCGCCCGUCGCUACUACCGAUUGAAUGAUUUAGUGAGGACUUCGGACUGGGACCGAUGCGGCUUUCGGGCUGCGUCGGUAUUCUGGAAAGAUGUCCAAACUGUAUCAUUUAGAGGAAGUAAAAGUCGUAACA
RNAcentral lists this ribosomal RNA (327 nucleotides) under uncultured eukaryote. Its description in RNAcentral is "partial 18S ribosomal RNA". It matches the Rfam family "Eukaryotic small subunit ribosomal RNA", at positions 1470 to 1796 of the family's 1831-position model. The record is from RNAcentral.